UGGGGAAUUUUGGACAAUGGGCGCAAGCCUGAUCCAGCAAUGCCGCGUGCAGGAUGAAGGCCUUCGGGUUGUAAACUGCUUUUGUACGGAGCGAAAAAGUUUUUUUAAUACAAAGAACUCAUGACGGUACCGUAAGAAUAAGCACCGGCUAACUACGUGCCAGCAGCCGCGGUAAUACGUAGGGUGCGAGCGUUAAUCGGAAUUACUGGGCGUAAAGCGUGCGCAGGCGGUUUUGUAAGACAGAUGUGAAACCCCCGGGCUCAACCUGGGAACUGCAUAUGUGACUGCAAGGCUAGAGUACGGUAGAGGGGGAUGGAAUUCCGCGUGUAGCAGUGAAAUGCGUAGAUAUGCGGAGGAACACCGAUGGCGAAGGCAAUCCCCUGGACCUGUACUGACGCUCAUGCACGAAAGCGUGGGGAGCAAACAGG
This 428-nucleotide ribosomal RNA is filed under the name uncultured bacterium. Its description in RNAcentral is "bacterial SSU rRNA". It matches the Rfam family "Bacterial small subunit ribosomal RNA", at positions 355 to 776 of the family's 1533-position model. The record is from RNAcentral.